AGACAAAAUAUGUCUCCCACAAGUCAGAAGCCUGGCACGGCCCGUGCUAGCCUUGGCACGGCCGUGCCACCCUCCAGAAGACCUUUUGCUGCUUUUGCUUGGGCUCUAAGCUAUUCUAUUUUGGCGCACAAUCUACCGUGGAAUAUUCUUGGAAUAUACUUGCUUAGAUUUUAAGUCAAUUGUGUACUAUAAAUAGAGUAGCUAGCCAUCACAAAUAUUCAUCUUUUCUUGGAAUGCAAUAUGUGACAAUUGUUUUCUAAUAAAAGUUCAUUUACUUUAUUGUUAUUUACUUUUAUGCUUUCUCUCUUCUUCUCCUUGUCUACGAUGAACGUCAGUGAGUAGACUUCUCUUGUCUUGGGAUUGUUGGAUAAGUCUAAUGACAUAAUCCUAAUCAAACCAAGCUUUAAACCUUAAUCUUAUGUAACCCUAAUUCCUUAUCUAAAUUCACCGCUUUAACAUGGAUCAACCAUUAUCAAACUGUGGAAACGAAAGUGGAGGGUUUGAUAAUUGUUUAUCCAUCAUCUCAAAUAUCAAUUCAUAAAACGAAAGUGGAGCUUUGAUAUUCGAACAAGUGAAUUUAGACAAGGAUUGCAAAGUCAGCGAAAUAGGCUUUGCAAUCUUUGAGACAUAUAGUUUCGAUCUUCAAGGGAACUAAUAACAAUCAAGUCAGCGAAAUAGGCUUGGUUGUUAGAGGAACCAAAAUCUAAUAGUAAUCAAGUCAGCGAAAUAGGCUUGGUUGCUAGAGGAACAAAAGAGAAACUGUCUUGAGAAAUUAGGUCUAACAUAAAGUUAUAAGUUUAAUAGUUUGGUUUGAGAAGGACUUGUCGUUAGGAUGAACCAAUAACCCCAAGGCUUUUAUCUUUUAUUUUAUUAUUUGCUCUUAAUUAAAAUCCCAAACUUUUCUACCUUAUAAACCUUUAGUCCAAUCAUUAUCUAAAGUUAAUUGAAUUCGUAACUCCCUGUCGGAACGAUACUCAUAUUUUACUACUUCGGUAAGACCGUGCACUUGCGGUUUUAUCCCAUCAAGUUUUUGGCGCCGCUGCGGGGGAUUGUCCGAAGGUGAUUCAAGAAAACGAGAAAAUUUUGAGGCCCCAUGUCCAGAACCUUGGCACGGCCCGUGCUAACACUGGCACGGCCGUGCCAGACCUUGCUACCCAAAAACUGACCCACAAUCCAGAAAGUUGGCACGGCCCGUGCUAAGUUUGGCACGGCCGUGCCCGAUCCCAGGUUCAGUUUUAUCUAACUUUUCAUCUUCUUCAUCCCCCAUUCUCAACCACUCACAUCCCUCAUCCUCCCAUUUUUAUCUAAAACCUCCAUAACCAAAAAACCUUACAAACUCCAUACCUCCCUCAAAACCUCACCAAUUCUCAAAAUUUCUUCACCCCAUCAACCACAAUCCACAUUUCAAUCAUAACCCUUCCAUCAAAAACAACUUUCUUCCAUCCCUACCAAAAAAAAAAAAACAUCAAAUUCGUAGCCCCCAUUCAACCAACUACAAAACCCACAAAUUCUUCACCAAUUCACCCAACCCAACUCCUAACACUUACUCAAACCCCAACCCCAUCACCCAACCUUCACCCAAAACACAAAAGGUCCACCAAGGUUAAGGAUAAUGGCAUCUAGGAAAGGUGGAGCAAGCUCUUCCGGAGGACCACAAUCAAAGAAGAAAACGCAAGCCAAGAAUCAUGGCAUAAUCUUCAAGGACACCAAGCAAAGGGACAGGUAUAAAAUUCUUCUCUCUAAACCUUUGCAUCCUUGUCGAUAUCCAGAUCCUUAUACUUUGAGUGUGCUAGGACUAAGGGAUAAUGUGUUUAAAUUACUAGGAAAUUUAGGAUGGGUUGAUAUGCUUAGACCUAUGAAAGGUUUCGAAAAUUUCACUUAUGAAUUCUUAAGUUCUAUUGAAUUUACGAAGGAUAAGGUGAAUUUUGACAACCCCGAUCAUAGAGUCUCUUUCCGACUUUUGAAUAUGGAUUAUGAGAUGUCUCUUGAAAAUUUCUGUUUAGAGAUGGACUUUGCAAAUGCGGGGUUCAUCCAUGACUCUUGGAAUCCAAAUUUAAAGUCGGAAAACUAUGACCCCGCUCUCUUUUGGAAACGCAUUACCGGGUUAAGGCAAUAUAAUCCCCGCAACAAUAAGGCUAGUAACAUUCACAACCCAGUACUUAGAUACCUCCAGAGAGUCAUGGCUUGUACCAUUUGGGGUAGAAAAGAGGUAGGAACAACUAGGACGGAUGAACUUUUUAUGCUUUGGGCAAUGCUUAGUAACAAUCCCGUUAAUACUUGUUUCUACCUACUUGAUUACCUUUCCUCCAUAGGAGCUAGACCUGAUAAUAGAGCUGAGAUAGUAGUCGGUGGUAUCAUUACCUUCAUCGCUAGGAAGUUUGGAGCGGGUGAGGAAGAUGGGAUAAAUCCAAUUGAGGGCAACAAUAGACUUAAUAUUGAAACCCUUGUUGCUAUGAACUUCAUUAAGAUUCACCCACCCAUGACUUAUGCACUUCAACUUCGCAUACCACUUUUAUUUCUACUUCCUAACCCAUCUCGGACUAACCCCGAGGUGGAGGAAAAUUUGUUGUAUGUUGGUGAUGGAUUACAGGUACAUGAAGAGCAUAAUCAAGGUGACGAAGAAGGUGCACACAUGCACCAUGAAGAGGAGCCCCAUGACCAUAACGACAACAAUGAAAGAUGGGCAUGGAUGCAAACCGAGGUACAAAGGAUAAGCACCGAGCAACAAAGGCAAGGUGUUGAAUUAUCCGGGCUAAGAAAUGAUGUCCUACGGGGCAACCGCAUAUCCGAAGAAAAUAACCAAAUGCUUCGGAACAUGAUGCAACACUUCAACCUCCAAGGCCCUCCCUAUGGACCUCAAUAAAAAUGUGAGCUUUCCUCUUCCUCUUUUUUCACCUCAUCUCUUUAAUCUCUAUCUCACUCUUCUACCUCUCCUUCUCUUCUACUUUUCUUUUAUCUUGAAUCAUUGAGGACAAUGCUUCUCCUAAGUGUGGGGGGAGCCUAAUAAAGUGUCUUUAGUCGUAGUGUUUCCAAACUCCCUUGAACUUUAUUCUUUUGUUUUGUUUUAUUGUAAAAGGCAUGGUUAAGUAGCUAAUUUUUAUUGAAAAUAUCAUGACACAAAAAUUUUCAUUGUCUCCUCUUAUUUUGUUGAUUAUUGUACAUGAAAGCAAACUCUUGUGUUUUAAGUCUUCUUGAUAUACCCACAUCUUGUUUUAAAGUGAAUAAAAUUCUCCAAUGAGAAAAACACAAAGUUGCUUCCCUUGAGUAAAUGUAUGAAUAGGUAUUUUAAGGAAACGCGUUUUAAUCUUAGUGGUGCAUUAACCUUUAAAGAUUCUCAAAAUGCCAGUAGUAUAAGUCAGUAUAAGGGAGUUCAUGAAAAGCCAAAAAGCCAAAUAAAUUCCAAGAUCUCAUCAUUGAAUCUAGAUUGGGGAAGGAGGUAGGCCCUCCGACUUCCUACGUGAAGAUGAUUGUUAUCUUGAGGAAAAACUUUAAAACGCAUCAUUGAAUCUAGAUUGGGGAAGGGGGUAGGCCCUCCGACUUCCUACGUGAAGAUGAUGUUUUAAGGGAUACCAUUGAAUCUAGAUUGGGGAAGGGGGUAGGCCCUCCGACCUCCUACGUGAAGAUGUUGUUCCUUAAAUAAAGAACUUAAAAUGUGCAAAUGGCAAAGAACAAAGAUUCUCAAAUACUCCCAUCUCUCUUAUAUGAAUUAUAGAAGGAAUCUUUCUUGGUUGGUUUAGUGCUAGGAUUAGACCAUGUUUCCUCAUAAUGCCUAUCUUAUACAGGAGCAAGAAAAGGGUUGGACUUCACACACACACUCACUUGAAACUUGAUCGUUGGGUUGAAUAAAAAUUACAAGAAACACUUGAGUUUGUGAUUAGUGUACACUUGGGAUUUAAGCCCUUGAGGAGACAUGUGCUUUAAUUGAAUUGUCAUUUGAUAUAACUGUUGGUGCUACUAUGUUUAUGCCUUUUGCUUGAGGACAAGCAAAGAUUCAAGUGUGGGGGAGUUUGAUGAGUCAUUUAUAUACUAUUUUAAUAUGCUUUUUAGUUUAGUUUUAUUUAGAUUUUAUAUAAUUUUAUAUUAGUAUUAUUUCCUUUUUAGGAUAGUUUACUUUAAAUUGCAAUUUAUUAUAUUUCAGGGAAGAAUAUUGGAUGGAUUGAGUCUUGGAGCAAAAGAAAGGGAUUUGGAGCAGAUUGGACACGAAAAUAUGAAGAUUGGGAGACAAAAUAUGUCUCCCACAAGUCAGAAGCCUGGCACGGCCCGUGCUAGCCUUGGCACGGCCGGGCCACCCUCCAGAAGACCUUUUGCUGCUUUUGCUUGGGCUCUAAGCUAUUCUAUUUUGGCGCACAAUCUACCGUGGAAUAUUCUUGGAAUAUACUUGCUUAGAUUUUAAGUCAAUUGUGUACUAUAAAUAGAGUAGCUAGCCAUCACAAAUAUUCAUCUUUUCUUGGAAUGCAAUAUGUGACAAUUGU
This 4472-nucleotide long non-coding RNA is filed under the name Medicago truncatula (barrel medic). RNAcentral's name for it is "long non-coding RNA (MTRU_LNC003040)". Lineage: Eukaryota; Viridiplantae; Streptophyta; Magnoliopsida; Fabales; Fabaceae. The record is from RNAcentral.